RNAcentral lists this ribosomal RNA (523 nucleotides) under uncultured bacterium. RNAcentral's name for it is "bacterial SSU rRNA". It matches the Rfam family "Bacterial small subunit ribosomal RNA", at positions 1 to 518 of the family's 1533-position model. The record is from RNAcentral.
CGUCAGAGAGUUGAUCCUGGCUCAGGAUGAACGCUAGCUACAGGCUUAACACAUGCAAGUCGAGGGGCAGCAUUGGAGUAGCAAUACUCAGAUGGCGACCGGCGCACGGGUGAGUAACACGUAUCCAACCUGCCGCUUACUCGGGGAUAGCCUUUCGAAAGAAAGAUUAAUACCCGAUGGUAUAAAGAGUUCGCAUGUUCUCUUUAUUAAAGAUUUCGGUAAGCGAUGGGGAUGCGUUCCAUUAGAUAGUUGGCGGGGUAACGGCCCACCAAGUCUACGAUGGAUAGGGGUUCUGAGAGGAAGGUCCCCCACAUUGGAACUGAGACACGGUCCAAACUCCUACGGGAGGCAGCAGUGAGGAAUAUUGGUCAAUGGACGAGAGUCUGAACCAGCCAAAAGUAGCGUGAAGGAUGACUGCCCUAUGGGUUGUAAACUUCUUUUAUAAGGGAAUAAAGUGAGGGACGUGUCCCUUUUUGUAUGUACCUUAUGAAUAAGGAUCGGCUAACUCCGUGCCAGCCGCGGC